Molecule: transfer RNA, 73 nt
Filed under: Dallia pectoralis (Alaska blackfish)
Lineage: Eukaryota; Metazoa; Chordata; Actinopteri; Esociformes; Umbridae
Description: tRNA-OTHER
Rfam family: tRNA
About the family: Transfer RNA (tRNA) molecules are approximately 80 nucleotides in length. Their secondary structure includes four short double-helical elements and three loops (D, anti-codon, and T loops).
Source: RNAcentral
GCUCCUGUGGCGCAAUCGGUUAGCGCGGUACUUAUAAUGCCCGAGGUUGUGAGUUCGAGCCUCACCUGGAGCA